This 110-nucleotide Y RNA is filed under the name Microcebus murinus (gray mouse lemur). Its description in RNAcentral is "Y RNA (ENSMICG00000041565.1)". It matches the Rfam family "Y RNA". Rfam says of the family: Y RNAs are components of the Ro ribonucleoprotein particle (Ro RNP), in association with Ro60 and La proteins. The Y RNAs and Ro60 and La proteins are well conserved, but the function of the Ro RNP is not known. The record is from Rfam by way of RNAcentral. Lineage: Eukaryota; Metazoa; Chordata; Mammalia; Primates; Cheirogaleidae.
GGCUGGUCCAAAGGUAGUACGUUAUCUCAACUGAUUACAUAGACAGGUAGAGGUAAAACUCUCCAUUGUACUUUUUCUGCCUUCUCACUACUGCACUUGACUAGUCUUAA